This 254-nucleotide ribosomal RNA is filed under the name uncultured bacterium. RNAcentral's name for it is "partial 16S ribosomal RNA". It matches the Rfam family "Bacterial small subunit ribosomal RNA", at positions 524 to 776 of the family's 1533-position model. The record is from RNAcentral.
UACGGGGGUAGCAAGCGUUGUUCGGAUUUACUGGGCGUAAAGGGCGCGUAGGCGGUCAGCACAAGUCAGUUGUGAAAUCUCCGGGCUUAACUCGGAAAGGUCAACUGAUACUGUGCGACUAGAGUGCGGAAGGGGCAACUGGAAUUCUCGGUGUAGCGGUGAAAUGCAUAGAUAUCGAGAGGAACACCUGCGGCGAAGGCGGGUUGCUGGGCCGACACUGACGCUGAUGCGCGAAAGCCAGGGGAGCAAACGGG